AGAUCAUUAUGAUGGAAGAUUUUCAUGGUGUUAGCAUACAGAAGAAAGAACACUGCCCCUGGAGUCAGAGAACCUGAUUUCAAAUUCUGCCUCUGACAUUUAUUACCUGCAUAAAUUUGACCCUCUCUAAAGCAUCAUUCUUCAUGAAUCUACAAAGAUGGUUCCACAAUCAAACCUGAGAAAAAAGGAUGAGAAUUGAAUAAAACAAAAAGGAAACCUUCUGACUUUAUGAUCAAAAAGAAGGAGGAGCCAGAUGUGACAGAGACCCAGGAACCACAUAGAGUUCACUAUAUUAUCCCAAAUGAUAGCCUUGAUGCAUUCAGUCAUGAGACAUGCUGUGCACUGGAAAAGACCAAGACAAAAAAGACCAGAAUAGGACCAGCUAUAAACUCAUCACAUGCUACUCUGGAAAAGAUUCAGUUCAAAUUAAAAUCUACGGAGAAUAUUCUAGCCAGAGAAAUGGAAAGCAAUGGCUGUCAAGAAUAGGAGAGGAUUCAGCAAGCUAUGGAAAUUUGAGAAUAUCGCUGUAUCAAUUUAAAGAGUUUUCAGCAGUCUUCUUUCCAUUUACCACAGUAAAGACACAGCUUUUGUUUCCAGUGUGGAAGGGAGGAUGGUAA
Monodelphis domestica (gray short-tailed opossum) is the source of this 617-nucleotide long non-coding RNA. The record is from Ensembl. Lineage: Eukaryota; Metazoa; Chordata; Mammalia; Didelphimorphia; Didelphidae.